GACGAACGCUGGCGGCGUGCUUAACACAUGCAAGUCGAACGGGAAGGCCCUGCUUUUGUGGGGUGCUCUAGUGUCGAACGGGUGAGUAACACGUGAGUAACCUGCCCUUGACUUUGGGAUAACUUCAGGGAACUGGGGCUAAUACCGGGUAGGAGCUCCUGCUGCAUGGUGGGGGUUGGAAAGUUUCGGCGGUUGGGGAUGGACUCGCGGCUUAUCAGCUUGUUGGUGGGGUAGUGGCUUACCAAGGCUUUGACGGGUAGCCGGCCUGAGCGGGGGAACGGCGACAUUGGGACUGAGAGAGGGCGCAGACUCCUACGGGACGCAGCAGUGGGGAAUAUGGCACAACGGGCGGAAGCCUGAUGCAGCAAUGCCGCGUGCGGGAUGCCGGCCUGCUGGUUGUAAACCGCUUUCGCAGGUGAUGAAGCGUGAGUGACGGUAAUUGGUAAAGAAGCAACGGCUAACUACGUG
Molecule: ribosomal RNA, 468 nt
Filed under: uncultured bacterium
Lineage: Bacteria
Description: partial 16S ribosomal RNA
Rfam family: Bacterial small subunit ribosomal RNA
Source: RNAcentral